This 715-nucleotide ribosomal RNA is filed under the name uncultured bacterium. RNAcentral's name for it is "bacterial SSU rRNA". It matches the Rfam family "Bacterial small subunit ribosomal RNA", at positions 67 to 771 of the family's 1533-position model. The record is from RNAcentral.
CGGCAGCACAGCAGUAGCAAUACUGUGGGUGGCGAGUGGCGGACGGGUGAGGAAUACAUCGGAAUCUGCCCAGUCGUGGGGGAUAACAUAGGGAAACUUAUGCUAAUACCGCAUACGACCUACGGGUGAAAGCGGGGGAUCGCAAGACCUCGCGCGAUUGGAUGAGCCGAUGUCCGAUUAGCUAGUUGGCGGGGUAAUGGCCCACCAAGGCGACGAUCGGUAGCUGGUCUGAGAGGAUGAUCAGCCACACUGGAACUGAGACACGGUCCAGACUCCUACGGGAGGCAGCAGUGGGGAAUAUUGGACAAUGGGCGCAAGCCUGAUCCAGCCAUGCCGCGUGGGUGAAGAAGGCCUUCGGGUUGUAAAGCCCUUUUGUCCGGAAAGAAAAGCACUGGAUUAAUACUUCGGUGUUCUGACGGUACCGGAAGAAUAAGCACCGGCUAACUUCGUGCCAGCAGCCGCGGUAAUACGAAGGGUGCAAGCGUUACUCGGAAUUACUGGGCGUAAAGCGUGCGUAGGUGGUUCGUUAAGUCUGAUGUGAAAGCCCUGGGCUCAACCUGGGAAUUGCAUUGGAUACUGGCGGGCUAGAGUGCGGUAGAGGAUGGCGGAAUUCCCGGUGUAGCAGUGAAAUGCGUAGAGAUCGGGAGGAACAUCUGUGGCGAAGGCGGCCAUCUGGACCAGCACUGACACUGAGGCACGAAAGCGUGGGGAGCAA